This 277-nucleotide microRNA precursor is filed under the name Oryza sativa Japonica Group (Japanese rice). RNAcentral describes it as "MIR821 microRNA precursor family". It matches the Rfam family "MIR821 microRNA precursor family". Lineage: Eukaryota; Viridiplantae; Streptophyta; Magnoliopsida; Poales; Poaceae. RNAcentral also lists the same sequence under 1 other name. The record is from Rfam by way of RNAcentral.
GAUUUCAAUUGAAAAAGUCAUCAACAACAAAGUUGAAUAACUCAUCAAGAUCUAAAACUUUUAUUUUUGUUAUUUCUUCAUCUGACGAAAUGUUAGUAAUAUUAUUCACAAAUUUUACAUAUAUGUGUUAUAGUUUAUAAAAAACCAGAUAAGAGAUAUGUCAAUUUUGUGAACAAUGUUACUAUCACUUUGUCGUAUGAAGAAAUGACCAAAAUAAAAGUUUUAGAUCUUGAUGAGUUAUUCAACUUUGUUGUUGAUGACUUUUUCAGUUGAUAUC